Molecule: microRNA precursor, 46 nt
Filed under: Myotis lucifugus (little brown bat)
Lineage: Eukaryota; Metazoa; Chordata; Mammalia; Chiroptera; Vespertilionidae
Description: miRNA (ENSMLUG00000023899.1)
Source: RNAcentral
GCGCGCGUGUGUGUGUGUGUGUGUGUGUGUGUGUGCGCGCGCAAGU